Molecule: ribosomal RNA, 465 nt
Filed under: Vreelandella stevensii
Lineage: Bacteria; Pseudomonadati; Pseudomonadota; Gammaproteobacteria; Oceanospirillales; Halomonadaceae
Description: partial 16S ribosomal RNA
Rfam family: Bacterial small subunit ribosomal RNA
Source: RNAcentral
CCUACGUGAGGCUGCAGUGGGGAAUAUUGGACAAUGGGCGAAAGCCUGAUCCAGCCAUGCCGCGUGUGUGAAGAAGGCCUUCGGGUUGUAAAGCACUUUCAGUGGGGAAGAAAGCCUUGGGGCUAAUACCCUCGAGGAAGGACAUCACCCACAGAAGAAGCACCGGCUAACUCCGUGCCAGCAGCCGCGGUAAUACGGAGGGUGCGAGCGUUAAUCGGAAUUACUGGGCGUAAAGCGCGCGUAGGCGGUCUGAUAAGCCGGUUGUGAAAGCCCCGGGCUCAACCUGGGAACGGCAUCCGGAACUGUCAGGCUAGAGUGCAGGAGAGGAAGGUAGAAUUCCCGGUGUAGCAGUGAAAUGCGUAGAGAUCGGGAGGAAUACCAGUGGCGAAGGCGGCCUUCUGGACUGACACUGACGCUGAGGUGCGAAAGCGUGGGUAGCAAACAGGAUUAGAUACCCGAGUAGUC